This 468-nucleotide ribosomal RNA is filed under the name uncultured bacterium. RNAcentral's name for it is "partial 16S ribosomal RNA". It matches the Rfam family "Bacterial small subunit ribosomal RNA", at positions 28 to 507 of the family's 1533-position model. The record is from RNAcentral.
GACGAACGCUGGCGGCGUGCUUAACACAUGCAAGUCGAACGGAAAGGCCCUGCUUUUGUGGGGUGCUCGAGUGGCGAACGGGUGAGUAACACGUGAGUAACCUGCCCUUGACUUUGGGAUAACUUCAGGAAACUGGGGCUAAUACCGGAUAGGAGCUCCUGCUGCAUGGUGGGGGUUGGAAAGUUUCGGCGGUUGGGGAUGGACUCGCGGCUUAUCAGCUUGUUGGUGGGGUAGUGGCUUACCAAGGCUUUGACGGGUAGCCGGCCUGAGAGGGUGACCGGCCACAUUGGGACUGAGAUACGGCGCAGACUCCUACGGGAGGCAGCAGUGGGGAAUAUUGCAAAAAGGGCGGAAGCCUGAUGCAGCAACGCCGCGUGCGGGAUGACGGCCUUCGGGUUGUAAACCGCUUUCGCCUGUGACGAAGCGUGAGUGACGGUAAUGGGUAAAGAAGCACCGGCUAACUACGUG